This is a long non-coding RNA of Ipomoea nil (Japanese morning glory), 254 nucleotides long. RefSeq lists it as uncharacterized. The record is from RefSeq and is a predicted model, not a curated record. Lineage: Eukaryota; Viridiplantae; Streptophyta; Magnoliopsida; Solanales; Convolvulaceae. The transcript is spliced from 3 exons.
UAUACUGCUUCAGUUACACAUGUGUCAUUGCUGGUACUGCUGGAGUUGUCUUCGCUGGAGCAUAUAUAAUGGUUGAUGUGUAUGGAUGUAGACACUUAACAAGUUUGCUGGAGUGGAUGGGAAUGAAUGCAUUACUGAUUUAUGUUCUGGUGUCCUGCAACAUAAUACCGAUUAUUGUGCAGGGAUUGUAUUGGAGGCUUCCAGAAAAUAACAUUGUUUCGAUGAUCGGUAGUGGGCAUAAGUAGUGGAUUCCC